Pungitius pungitius (ninespine stickleback) is the source of this 1796-nucleotide RNA transcript. It is a transcript of the gene named ankyrin repeat and SOCS box protein 13-like, with no coding region annotated. The record is from RefSeq and is a predicted model, not a curated record. NCBI's taxonomy places the organism in Eukaryota, Metazoa, Chordata, Actinopteri, Perciformes, Gasterosteidae. The transcript is spliced from 8 exons.
GCUUAGAGUGUCAGUUCCGGGUUCGUCACGUGACGGCCGCGGCACGUAAACAUGAACGAGACGCGGCUGUUUAUAAACAUCUCGUCUUAGGGCACCGCCGGCAUCAUUUCUUCUGGAGACAAAAGGCCAGGAUGGAAGUUGAACACGCUCGUCCAUAUUUUUUUGGAGACAUCGGCUUCUGGUCGGAGAGAACGGAGGUGCACAAGGCGGCGUCUCUCGGCCACACUUCUCAGCUGGAGCACCUCAUCCGGAGCGGAGCGUCGGUCAACAUCGUGGCGGUGGACUCCAUCACGCCGCUGCACGAGGCCUGCCUCCGGGGACAGGCGCAGUGUGUCCGCCUGCUGCUGGACGCCGGAGCCCAGGUGGAUGCAAGGAACGUAGACGGGAGCACCCCGCUGUGCGAUGCCUGUUCGGCCGGCAGUCUGGAGUGUGUGCAGCUCUUGCUGGAUCACGGCGCCAUGGCCGACCCUGCCCUCACCUCCCGCACGGCCUCGCCCCUCCACGAGGCCUGCUUGGGAGGAAACUCUGACUGUGUGAGGCUGCUGAUUGCCACGGGGGCUUCUCUGGAGGCGUACAACCUUUACUACGGGACCCCGCUACAUGUGGCUUGUGCCAACAAACACACAGACUGUGUGAAAGAACUGCUCAACGCAGGCGCUAUGGUGAAUGCCGCCAGGCUACACGAGACUCCACUGCACCACGCUGCUAAGACCAUGCAGGUUGACAUGGUGGAGACGCUGGUGGAGUUCGGGGCCAACGUCUAUGCCAGGGAUCAGCACAACAAGAGACCUGUGGACUACACCACGCCAGGCUCUCCCUCUGCCACCUGCUUGACCUUUUAUGAGAACAACCCCAUGAGUCUGCAGCAGCUCAGCAGGUUGGCACUGAGGACCAAGCUGGGCACCAGAGCUCUGAAGGUCAUAGGUCAACUGAACAUACCAAAGCUCAUCAUGGAGUAUCUCUGCUAUUAGUGAGUGUCCCAGGGUUGCGAGGGAGGCCGGAGUCAAUCCCAGUUUACGUCAGGCGAGAGACAGGGUUGACACAGAGACAAACGAUCUGUCACCCUUACACCUGCAGGCAGUUUAGAGCCACCAAUCGACCUAAUCCCCAGAGCACGUCUCUGGACUUUGGGAGGAGGCCGGAGAGAACGUGCAGACUCCACACAGAAAGGCCACUGGGCGGAGUCAAAUCCAAGAGAUUUCUGCUGUGAGGAUGGGCUCCUCCCACCGCCUCGUUAGGGCAUCCCUAUUAAGACAGCACUUUGAAGAAGGACUACCCUCCGUGAUCCCAUCGAUGAGACACAGCAGCUGUCGAGUUGAGCUAAAACCACGUGGAAAGAAAUAAAGAAGGAAAGAUGACAGCCUCAGUGAGUUUUCUUUCAGUUUAGGACAUGUGGAUUAAGAUUUUCAGUCAAAAGAUCAAAUAAAAAUGUUAUUUCAGAAUCUGAUUUAACAUUUAUUUCUGCCAUCAAGUUCUCAUGCUCCCAUUUUUACUAUUAAUAUGGAUACGUCAGUUUCUAAACUUUUUCUGUCAUGACAGUGUGUACUGUACUUUUGUAGUCUGUGAAGUUCUCAGUAUAUUUCAUUAAAUAAAAAUAGAAAUCUGAAUUCCCCCUGUGAGUCACUUGUAAUACUACUGUAACUCACGUAAGCAGACGUCACAGCACCAAGUGCUGACUGGAAGAGACUUUUUUUGAAUAAGAACUGGAAAAAAAAUACUGAUUCAGACGAUGCACCCAUCUAUUGUAUAAUUUCUUCAUUGGACUCUGUAAAUUAAAGACUCAUUGCUGCACUCAA